AUGGGUCCCGACGGUGGUCGUGGGAGCGAAACUCAAAAACGAUGCAAAUUAGGGGUAAAGAAGACCCAGCCCCUUAAGGGGAAGCUGUGGUCAAAGUCUUCCUUCUCCGCCUCCCAGCCGCGUUCCCCACACUCCGGGUGCGAGCGACGGCGUCGCCUCUCUCUCUUCUCUCCGCUGCGCUUUCCUUCCAGGUCGCACCUGCCGACUGGAGGUGCCCUGGGAAGAUGGGAGCCUCUUCUCGGAGGAGCCCGCAGCCUCUCCGGCCGCCGGCGCCCCCUCUCUCCUGCUCCGGAGGAGCCCUCCUGGCGGUUCUGGUGCUGCUCGCGCUGCCGGCGGCCUGGGCCAUUACUUCUGAACUUUGUGCAUGAGGGUGUUUGGACAAGCAGUCCUCCUGAGCGUGCAGUUUUCACUAUAAACUGCCUUGCGUCUGGCUGGAUGCGCCCCACUCACAUCCCAAACCACCAAGUGCACUUAUUGAGCGCGUACAGAAAAUAAGCCCCACCGAGGCACUCGGGGUUAGAAGAGCCUGCGAAGCUUCAGAAUCCUCCGCGUCACUAGUUGCAGGUGGAAGUGUCACUAGUUGCAGGUGGAAAGGAAGUGUAGAGAUGUUGACACAGUGCCGUGUUUUGGUCAUGUGUUUAGUAGAAAAUAAAGCCUGUUGUAACUAAUUGGAAAUUUCGAGGUUGCAUCUUCCCCUCCUUCCUUCCCUUUUAAAUAAGUAAACCUUUUCUGUUUGAACCCUUCUCUUUUUAUUUUUGGCUUUCUGAGAAGUCCUCGUUGCUUGGACUUCUUGGUAAUAUCUCAGUUGAAAUGAGAGUCUUAAUUAUUCGUGCCCAGUCUCUUCUUGACAAGUGAGUUUGUUCUCUGCUGUCUCUAGACUUUUUGUGCAUUCCCAUUAGACAUUGUGCGUUCAUUGUGUGUUCAUUAUUUAUGCCUUCUAAGAGAGUAAAGAAAAAGGAAAACCCAAGUUUCUGCAACAGUUGUUAUUAACAGACAUUCUAAAGUAACCUGCCAGGUGAAGAUCCAACAAAGCCUUAAGUUUUAUUUCUAGAAGAGAAGCAAGUCAAGUAUAUUAAGCAAUCUAUGGCCAAUGCAUAGAAAUUUUUGUGCACCUGUUGAAUAUAUCUGGCCUUCUUCUUACUAGAAUGUUAAUUACAAAAAAAAAAAUAUUUACUAAGGUUAUCAUAAUAACCUGAAAAUGUGAAACAGAUUAAACCAAACCAUCUAGUAAUUUACUUGUCAAAGGAAUUUAGAUCAAGAAAACGGUAAUGGAAUGCUGACGGUGCACACAGCACUUUGGGCUUUAUGAGAGCUCUUUCUCCAGGGUGCAUUCAUGUGGAAGUUAUGUGGUGAGGUUUUAUGAGCUUUCCUUAAUUAAGAAGCCAGGGUUCUUUUUUUUUCAGCCUUUGCUACUUGCUAGCUGUAGUCCUGGGGCCCAGCAAGUCAAUCACAUCCCUGACUUUCAGUGUCCAUACAUAGAAAAUGAACAUAAUCAACAUCCUGCCAUAUGAGAGGACUAUUGUGAAAAUCAAAUGAGGUAGUGUAUGUGACAGUGUUUCAUAAUCUGAAAAGCCCCUGCAGAUCUGAGAAGCAUGAGUAGGAGCUUCUCUGAUGAAAGUCUAAAGGCCACAGCGUGACUCAAAAGGGGAACAUCUCAGCUUUGAUGAUUAGAGAAGGCUGAGUGCAAGGAAUGUGGCUUUAGCAGCAUUUAAGGAGUGAAUCCUAAGAUGGUUGUACACACGGAUUCAGAGGGUUGGUUACUUUACAUACAAAUGAGCACACGCAGCGUACCAACGCCCUGUGGAAUACAGGCCAGACUCUGGCGCCCUCCCCUGGUCCGUGGGGCAGAUCUCACUUUGUGGCCCUGCUGGGUAAAGCCGCAAGGUAGAAAGGACGGAAGUCCUGUUGGGUUUCUGUGAUUUGUCACCUAUUUCUGUUUACAUGUGCUCAGAUGAGCAGGUUUAUGGUUUAUAUUACCUCGUUCUAUCUAAUGUAACCUUUUUGAUCGUGCAAGUAACUUCAAAGAUUUUCCACAUAGAAACGAAAUGAAGAUGAUUCUAAAAGGCCAACUUAAGCAAACAAGAAAAUGGCAUACCAGACAAUCCCCUGUACAUGUGGACACGCGCAGAUGUGUGCACACACAGACACACGCAGCACACACACAUCCGAGCUCUUUGUUAGAGACACUAAGAGGAAGAAUCAUUGUCAGUCUAAUCACAAGUGACCACAAGUUGACAAAAUUAAGAAAGUAUCAAGACUACUUGAAACGGUAGCUUUUCAUCCAUUCUUGUGAACAGAGAAACUCAUUGUGACUAUUUGGUCCCUUUAGACAUUAACUAAUGAUCAUACUAAGUCAUCAUGAUUAGCAAAACAUUUAAAAUGUUCAUUUCUAUCAUAUAUUUUAAAAUUCCUAUUUAUGUAUAACAUGUAAUAUAUAUUUUAUAAAUAUAAAAUUAUUACAUAUACAUCUUUAAAUAUAUUUACUAUUUUAAUAUAUAAUAUGUAAUAUGGCUC
This is a long non-coding RNA of Suricata suricatta (meerkat), 2514 nucleotides long. The record is from Ensembl. NCBI's taxonomy places the organism in Eukaryota, Metazoa, Chordata, Mammalia, Carnivora, Herpestidae.